AGACCAGACUCCUACGGGAGGCAGCAGUGAGGAAUAUUGGUCAAUGGGCGUAAGCCUGAACCAGCCAAGUCGCGUGAGGGACGACGGCCCUACGGGUUGUAAACCUCUUUUGCCGGGGGACAAACGGCGGCACGCGUGCCGUCCUGAGGGUACCCGGAGAAAAAGCAUCGGCUAACUCCGUGCCAGCAGCCGCGGUAAUACGGAGGAUGCGAGCGUUAUCCGGAUUUAUUGGGUUUAAAGGGUGCGUAGGGGGGCGGCCAAGUCGGCGGUAAAAUGCGGGGGCACCCCCCCGGCCCGCCGUUGAAACUGGCAGUCUCGAGUUGGAGAGAAGUAUGCGGAAUGCGCGGUGUAGCGGUGAAAUGCAUAGAUAUCGCGCAGAACUCCGAUUGCGAAGGCAGCAUGCCGGCUCCACACUGACGCUGAGGCACGAAAGCGUGGGUAUCGAACAGGAUUAGAUACCCUAGUACG
RNAcentral lists this ribosomal RNA (468 nucleotides) under uncultured bacterium. Its description in RNAcentral is "bacterial SSU rRNA". It matches the Rfam family "Bacterial small subunit ribosomal RNA", at positions 328 to 793 of the family's 1533-position model. The record is from RNAcentral.